RNAcentral lists this ribosomal RNA (260 nucleotides) under uncultured bacterium. RNAcentral describes it as "partial 16S ribosomal RNA". It matches the Rfam family "Bacterial small subunit ribosomal RNA", at positions 333 to 610 of the family's 1533-position model. The record is from RNAcentral.
UUAAUCCUACGGGAGGCAGCAGUGGGGAAUAUUGCACAAUGGGGGAAACCCUGAUGCAGCGACGCCGCGUGAGUGAAGAAGUAUUUCGGUAUGUAAAGCUCUAUCAGCAGGGAAGAGAAUGACGGUACCUGACUAAGAAGCCCCGGCUAACUACGUGCCAGCAGCCGCGGUAAUACGUAGGGGGCAAGCGUUAUCCGGAUUUACUGGGUGUAAAGGGAGCGUAGACGGCCAGACAAGUCAGAAGUGAAAGCCCAGGGCUC